This 297-nucleotide signal recognition particle RNA is filed under the name Aotus nancymaae (Ma's night monkey). RNAcentral describes it as "Metazoan signal recognition particle RNA (ENSANAG00000009452.1)". It matches the Rfam family "Metazoan signal recognition particle RNA". Rfam says of the family: The signal recognition particle (SRP) is a universally conserved ribonucleoprotein. It is involved in the co-translational targeting of proteins to membranes. The eukaryotic SRP consists of a 300-nucleotide 7S RNA and six proteins: SRPs 72, 68, 54, 19, 14, and 9. Lineage: Eukaryota; Metazoa; Chordata; Mammalia; Primates; Aotidae. The record is from RNAcentral.
GCCAGGCAUGGUGGCGCAUGUCUAGUCCCAGCUAUUCAGGAGGUUGAGGCUGGAGGAUCUCUUGAGUCCAGGAGUUCUGGGCUGUAGUGCGCUAUGCCGAUCAGGUGUCCGCACUAAGUUCGGCAUCAAUAUGGUGACCUCCCGGGAGCGGGGGACCACCGGGUUGCCUAAGGAGGGGUGAACUGGCCCAGGUCGGAAACGGAGCAGGUCAAAACUCCCGUGCUGAUCAGUAGUGGAAUCACGCCUGUGAAUAGCCACUGCACUCCAGCCUGGGCAACAUAGCGAGACCUUGUCUCU